Molecule: RNA transcript, 2272 nt
Organism: Helianthus annuus (common sunflower)
Lineage: Eukaryota; Viridiplantae; Streptophyta; Magnoliopsida; Asterales; Asteraceae
Exons: 7
Source: RefSeq, a predicted model, not a curated record
CUCAUUCUCCGCCGUCGCCGUCGUCAUCUCCGAUCAAAUGGCCGGAAACAGAAUUGUGGUUACUGAAACCCUAACUUUUGAAAACAGGAAAUGUAUUCAGUCUUUAAAUAUAGAAGUACACGGGGUGUCUUCGUAAUUUCAGUUGCCUACAAAGAUGGUCAUAAGGUUAGACAGAGAGAGCGACAGAAAGGGGAGAGACGGUGGUUCCAGGCGUCACAGAAGGGGGUGGAGACGGUGGUUCCAUUGUGUACGCUUCACCACUGCGCCGACGUGUAAACCAGCUGUCUCGCGAGGAACUCUCCGGCGAUGCCGGUAACUGUCCGGCAAACCUAGGGUUCCGCCAUGACCUCAUAUGGCGGCGGCGUUGAUGGUGUUCUGAUUAAUGAGCACCGAUGGUUAACAGAUUCAACGGAGAUGAAGACAACUGCCAUACGAGUUAGUUCCGACAUAUUUUCCGGCGUUUGAGCGGCGGAGAGAUGAUGCUAGGGUUCCGGUGAAGGUCCGGCAAAGUUCGGGUACCCUGAUUCAGAUGUGCGUCUUCUAGCUACAGUUAGGUCGGGGUCACAUGGCUCUUAAACUAAUGAUAUGUGUUGAUUCAGUAACCGUAGGUGCUCCGCUCACCGAUUUAGAGUCUCUGGCGAGUUCCACACCAGUGUAGAUCGAUAACCACAAAGGCUGGAAAAAAAUCGACUGUUUCUUUUUAAACUUUCAAGUCUCAGAAGGGCAUCAAGCAACAACGCUCAACACUACUCCGCUCUCAAACUUGACGCCCUCGACACAACCACGACCAACUCGAAGGCUUUCGUUAGGCGAUUACGACUCUGCCAAGUAUGCUUUGACAAUUUAGGUUACUAUUUUACGAUGAUGCGCUAUGUAUGUAAGGAGGUUCGAAAUUGUGAUGUGAAGAUGCAUGCAGUUACCAAGCUUGCUAGCAACCUUCUGAGGAUUCCUCUUUCUAAUACCAGUAAUCAGAUGCCCAAGUGUGUGGUAUUAUAUGGCAGGCUUUGCGACGAGCGAUUUAGAUUUCAAGUACACUAAUUUGGCAAGCAAGGUAAGGUUCAGAGGUUCUUUCUUUCCAAAUUGCAUAUUAUUUACACUUGAAAUGUAAAUAUAAAUAUUAAUGCAAUACUUAGAUUUAUUUGUCAACCUCUUAGUAAAAUUCACAAGAAUAGAUUGUUGACUCUUAUCCUUUUUAUAUGCAGAUGUUGAAACUUUGAUUAUAGUGCCUAAUUCAUAAAGUUAUCGAAAUUUCGUUUAAAUCUGUUGUUGCAGUUUAAUCACUGAAAUUAAGUUUGCUUUUUGAAUUUUGUAGUUACAUGAAUUGUAUAUAGAUUUAUACAGGGUUGAGCUGGUUUGGUAACGGGCGCCACCCUCUCCAACUCAUCAUCUAUAGCGCCCCGAGGCGCUAUACCUCCACACCCUCGGAUUUAAAGGGGGGCGCUAUAGGAGGGGCUCCAUCAUGGUAACGAUGGAGAAGGGGCGCUAUAGAAGGGGGCCACCUGAUUUAAACCAAUGAAAUCUUUUUUUUUUUUUAAUUUGUUUAAUAAGGGGCUCCAUCCACACCAUCAAAUUAAAGGGGGCUCCAUGGCUGAGGUGGAUCCUAGGUGGCGCUGACGUGGCCUGAUAAAGCCCCUAGGGGGCUCCAACCACACCCUCCAGCUUAAUUCUUUGCUAAAACUGAGUUAAUUAACUUUUCAAAUCAUGUUUAUUGUUAUGAAUAUCCAUUUGAUCGUGAUGGUAUGGCCAUAGAUGUUAACGGUUAUCAAACAUGUAGCAAAACAAGAUAUGUAUGUGUGAAAUGAUUUAAGAGUUUUUAUGAAAUGAAAAUACACUUAGGUGACUUUUAUUCUUUUAACCCAUUUGAGUUAGUUUUAGUUUAAGUGCAUUCUGAAGUAGACAUGGUAAAUUAUGGUGGGCAAAGGGCUGGCGGUGGUGGUGGAUUUUCAGUGAUUUUGUAGAUGUCUUUUUAUCUAAAUAGCGAAAGGGUCGCCGUAAAGAGCUUAUUUGUCACUUCAACAUCCGUCUCCGAAUACAAAGCCUUGUUUUUGAUUGUUAGGAAUGCUACUAGAAAUGACACCGGCAGGCGGCAACUACAGUGGCAAUCAAUCAAAGCAUGAAAAGCACACUAUAAUUUUGGUUCUCAUUGUAUAAUAAAAAAUCGCAAUCAGUUGCUUAAGUUUGUACGCUGUGUUUUACGCCGCCGCAACGCGCGGCGGGUAAAAAUUCUAGUUGUAUUGAAUCUUGGUCUCCCAUAUAGAUAAAGUAUUAUUUA